Molecule: ribosomal RNA, 253 nt
Filed under: uncultured bacterium
Lineage: Bacteria
Also listed under: 2 other names
Description: partial 16S ribosomal RNA
Rfam family: Bacterial small subunit ribosomal RNA
Source: RNAcentral
UACGUAGGUGGCGAGCGUUAUCCGGAAUUAUUGGGCGUAAAGCGCGCGCAGGCGGUUCCUUAAGUCUGAUGUGAAAGCCCACGGCUCAACCGUGGAGGGUCAUUGGAAACUGGGGAACUUGAGUGCAGAAGAGAAGAGCGGAAUUCCACGUGUAGCGGUGAAAUGCGUAGAGAUGUGGAGGAACACCAGUGGCGAAGGCGGCUCUUUGGUCUGUAACUGACGCUGAGGCGCGAAAGCGUGGGGAGCAAACAGG